CAGUAGCACGGGAAUACAGAGGGUGCGAGCGUUAAUCGGAUUUACUGGGCGUAAAGCGUGCGUAGGCGGCUUCUUAAGUCGGAUGUGAAAUCCCUGAGCUUAACUUAGGAAUUGCAUUCGAUACUGGGAAGCUAGAGUAUGGGAGAGGAUGGUAGAAUUCCAGGUGUAGCGGUGAAAUGCGUAGAGAUCUGGAGGAAUACCGAUGGCGAAGGCAGCCAUCUGGCCUAAUACUGACGCUGAGGUACGAAAGCGUGGGGAGCAAACAGGAUUAGAUACCCCCGUAGUCCCUGUCUCUUAUACA
This 301-nucleotide ribosomal RNA is filed under the name uncultured bacterium. RNAcentral describes it as "partial 16S ribosomal RNA". It matches the Rfam family "Bacterial small subunit ribosomal RNA", at positions 509 to 808 of the family's 1533-position model. The record is from RNAcentral.